RNAcentral lists this ribosomal RNA (1080 nucleotides) under Enterococcus faecium. RNAcentral's name for it is "bacterial SSU rRNA". It matches the Rfam family "Bacterial small subunit ribosomal RNA", at positions 70 to 1130 of the family's 1533-position model. The record is from RNAcentral. Lineage: Bacteria; Bacillati; Bacillota; Bacilli; Lactobacillales; Enterococcaceae.
CACCGGAGCUUGCUCCACCGGAAAAAGAGGAGUGGCGAACGGGUGAGUAACACGUGGGUAACCUGCCCAUCAGAAGGGGAUAACACUUGGAAACAGGUGCUAAUACCGUAUAACAAUCGAAACCGCAUGGUUUUGAUUUGAAAGGCGCUUUCGGGUGUCGCUGAUGGAUGGACCCGCGGUGCAUUAGCUAGUUGGUGAGGUAACGGCUCACCAAGGCCACGAUGCAUAGCCGACCUGAGAGGGUGAUCGGCCACAUUGGGACUGAGACACGGCCCAAACUCCUACGGGAGGCAGCAGUAGGGAAUCUUCGGCAAUGGACGAAAGUCUGACCGAGCAACGCCGCGUGAGUGAAGAAGGUUUUCGGAUCGUAAAACUCUGUUGUUAGAGAAGAACAAGGAUGAGAGUAACUGUUCAUCCCUUGACGGUAUCUAACCAGAAAGCCACGGCUAACUACGUGCCAGCAGCCGCGGUAAUACGUAGGUGGCAAGCGUUGUCCGGAUUUAUUGGGCGUAAAGCGAGCGCAGGCGGUUUCUUAAGUCUGAUGUGAAAGCCCCCGGCUCAACCGGGGAGGGUCAUUGGAAACUGGGAGACUUGAGUGCAGAAGAGGAGAGUGGAAUUCCAUGUGUAGCGGUGAAAUGCGUAGAUAUAUGGAGGAACACCAGUGGCGAAGGCGGCUCUCUGGUCUGUAACUGACGCUGAGGCUCGAAAGCGUGGGGAGCAAACAGGAUUAGAUACCCUGGUAGUCCACGCCGUAAACGAUGAGUGCUAAGUGUUGGAGGGUUUCCGCCCUUCAGUGCUGCAGCUAACGCAUUAAGCACUCCGCCUGGGGAGUACGACCGCAAGGUUGAAACUCAAAGGAAUUGACGGGGGCCCGCACAAGCGGUGGAGCAUGUGGUUUAAUUCGAAGCAACGCGAAGAACCUUACCAGGUCUUGACAUCCUUUGACCACUCUAGAGAUAGAGCUUCCCCUUCGGGGCAAAGUGACAGGUGGUGCAUGGUUGUCGUCAGCUCCGGUCCGGGAAAUGUUGGGUUAAGUCCCGCACCGAGCCCACCCUUAUUGUUAUUUGCCUUCUUUCAGUU